RNAcentral lists this ribosomal RNA (851 nucleotides) under uncultured bacterium. Its description in RNAcentral is "bacterial SSU rRNA". It matches the Rfam family "Bacterial small subunit ribosomal RNA", at positions 602 to 1465 of the family's 1533-position model. The record is from RNAcentral.
UAGGAGCUUAACUCNUAAAUUGCCAUUGAUACUGGCGGGCUUGAGUGUAGAUGAGNUAGGCGGAAUGCGUGGUGUAGCGGUGGAAUGCAUAGAUAUCACGCAGAACUCCAAUUGCGAAGGCAGCUUACUAAGGUACAACUGACGCUGAAGCACGAAAGCGUGGGUAUCAAACAGGAUUAGAUACCCUGGUAGUCCACGCAGUAAACGAUGAUAACUGGGCGUAUGCGAUAUACAGUAUGCUCNUAAGCGAAAGCGUUAAGUUAUCCACCUGGGGAGUACGCCGGCAACGGUGAAACUCAAAGGAAUUGACGGGGGCCCGCACAAGCGGAGGAACAUGUGGUUUAAUUCGAUGAUACGCGAGGAACCUUACCCGGGAUUGAAAUGUAGACGACGAGCGGUGAAAGUCGCUUUCCCUUCGGGGCGUCUAUGUAGGUGCUGCAUGGUUGUCGUCAGCUCGUGCCGUGAGGUGUCGGCUUAAGUGCCAUAACGAGCGCAACCCCUGUCUACGGUUGCCAUCAGGUAAUGCUGGGAACUCCGUAGAGACUGCCGUCGUAAGGCGUGAGGAAGGUGGGGAUGACGUCAAAUCAGCACGGCCCUUACAUCCGGGGCGACACACGUGUUACAAUGGUGGGGACAAAGGGCAGCUACCUGGCGACAGGAUGCGAAUCUCCAAACCCCAUCACAGUUCGGAUCGGAGUCUGCAACUCGACUCCGUGAAGCUGGAUUCGCUAGUAAUCGCGCAUCAGCCAUGGCGCGGUGAAUACGUUCCCGGGCCUUGUACACACCGCCCGUCAAGCCAUGGGAGUCUGGAGUACCUAAAGUCCGUACCCGCGAGGGACGGCCUAGGGUAA